GUUGUAAGGUUAAGUAAUGAAGCGUACAGGGAGGAUGCCUAGGCAGUCAGAGGCGAAGAAGGGCGUGUUAAUCUGCGAAAAGCGACGGUAAGCUGAUAAAAAGCGUGUUAGCCGUCGAUACCCGAAUGGGGCAACCCAGUGCAGAAUAUGCACUAUCGUGAUAUGAAUAAAAUAGUAUUGCGAGGCAAACCAGGGGAAUUGAAACAUCUCAGUACCCUGAGGAAAAGAAAUCAACCGAGAUUCCCUAAGUAGCGGCGAGCGAAAGGGGAGGAGCCCUGAGUCAUCAACAUCUUUGCGCAGUUAGGGGAAUCGUUUGGGAAGACGAGCCAUAGAGGGUGAUGGCCCCGUACCUGAAAAUUGUAGCAGAGUAGACUCGAUAGAGUAGGACGGGACACGUGAUAUCCUGUUUGAAGAUGGGGGGACCAUCCUCCAAGGCUAAAUACUAAUGACUGACCGAUAGUGAACUAGUACCGUGAGGGAAAGGUGAAAAGAACCCUAGCACAGGGAGUGAAAUAGAUCCUGAAACCAUAUGCGUACAAGCAGUGGAAGCCUAAUAUAAUUAGGUAACUGCGUACCUUUUGUAUAAUGGGUCAGCGAGUUAUUUUCGGUAGCAAGCUUAACCAUAUCGGGGAGGCGCAGGGAAACCGAGUCUUAAAUGGGCUGUAUAGUUUCCGGAAAUAGACCCGAAACCGAGCGAUCUAUCCAUGAGCAGGUUGAAUAGUUAAGUAACAUUAAUAGAAGGACCGAAACUAUACAGCCCAUUUAAGACUCGGAUGACUUGUGGAUUGGAGUGAAAGGCUAAUCAAGCUCGGAGAUAGCUGGUUCUCCUCGAAAGCUAUUUAGGUAGCGCCUUAUGUAGUUUAAUUGGGGGUAGAGCACUGUUACGGCUAGGGAGUCUUAUAGAUUUACUAAACCGAUGCAAACUUCGAAUACCAAGAAUAACAGCAUAGGAGACACACUGUGGGUGCUAACAUCCAUAGUGGAAAGGGAAACAACCCAGACCGUCAGAUAAGGUCCCAAAAUCUUAGUUAAGUGUAAAACGAGGUGGGAAGACUAAGACAGCUAGGAGGUUGGCUUAGAAGCAGCCAUCCUUUAAAGAAAGCGUAAUAGCUCACUAGUCAAGUUCACCUGCGCGGAAAAUAUAACGGGGCUAAAACUAAGUGCCGAAGCUACGGGUUUAUAUAGAAAAUAUAGGCGGUAGAGGAGCGUUGUGUAGGUCUGUGAAGGGAUAUUGAAAAAUGUUCUGGAGAUAUCACAAGUGCGAAUGCUGACAUGAGUAACGAUAAGGGAUGUGAGAAACAUCCCCGCCGAAAAACUAAGGUUUUCUGUUCAACGGUAAUCGGAGCAGAGUUAGUCGGCCCUAAGGUGAGGCUGAAAAGCGUAAUCGAUGGAAAAUGGGUUAAUAGUCCCAUACCAUAUGUAAUUGCGAUGGGGUGACGAAUAAGGCUAUGCGGGCCCAGCGUUGGUUGUCUGGGUUUAAGUAUGUAGGUUUAGAAGUUAGGUAAAUCCGAUUUCUUAAUAAAACCAAGGUAUGAGACGAACAGUGAAGUCGUUGAAGCCAAAAUUCCAGGAAAAACCUCUAAGCUUCAGAUUACAUAUGACCGUACCAUAAACCGACACAGGUGGUUAGGUAGAGCAUACUAAGGCGUUUGAGAGAACUCGGGUGAAGGAACUAGGCAAAAUGGUGCCGUAACUUCGGGAGAAGGCACGCUGGCGUUAGGUGAAGGGACAUGCUUCUGGAGCCGAGGCCAGCCGCAGAGACCAGCUAGCUGCAACUGUUUAUUAAAAACACAGCACUGUGCCAACACGUAAGUGGACGUAUACGGUGUGACGCCUGCCCGGUGCCGGAAGGUUAAUUGAUGGUGUGAGUGUCAAAGCAAAGCACUUGAUAGAAGCCCCGGUAAACGGCGGCCGUAACUAUAACGGUCCUAAGGUAGCGAAAUUCCUUGUCGGGUAAGUUCCGACCUGCACGAAUGGCGUAAUGAUGGCUAGGCUGUCUCCACCCGAGACUCAGUGAAAUUGAAUUUGCUGUGAAGAUGCAGUGUUCCCGCGGCAAGACGGAAAGACCCCGUGAACCUUUACUAUAGCUUGACACUGAAUAUGAAACCUUAAUGUGUAGGAUAGGUGGGAAGCGAAGAAGCGUAGACGCCAGUCUAUGUGGAGCUGCUGUUGAAAUACCACCCUUUGAUGUUUGAUAUUCUAACUUGGUCCCGUUAUCCGGGGUGAGGACAGUGUCUGGUGGGUAGUUUGACUGGGGCGGUCUCCUCCUAAAGAGUAACGGAGGAGUACGAAGGUCAGCUCAUCACGGUCGGACAUCGUGAGGUGAGUGCAAAGGCAUAAGCUGGCUUGACUGCGAGAGUGACGGCUCGAGCAGGUACGAAAGUAGGUCUUAGUGAUCCGGUGGUUCUGAAUGGAAGGGCCAUCGCUCAACGGAUAAAAGGUACUCCGGGGAUAACAGGCUGAUACCGCCCAAGAGUUCAUAUCGACGGCGGUGUUUGGCACCUCGAUGUCGGCUCAUCACAUCCUGGGGCUGAAGUAGGUCCCAAGGGUAUGGCUGUUCGCCAUUUAAAGUGGUACGCGAGCUGGGUUUAGAACGUCGUGAGACAGUUCGGUCCCUAUCUACCGCGGGCGUAGGAAGUUUGAGAAGAGCUGCUCUUAGUACGAGAGGACCGGAGUGGACGAACCUCUGGUGUUCCGGUUGUCAUGCCAAUGGCAUUGCCGGGUAGCUAAGUUCGGAAUGGAUAACUGCUGAAAGCAUAUAAGCGGGAAACCAACUUCAAGAAAAGACUUCCCAGGUUAAAACCCUAAAGGGCCCUCGAAGAAGACGAGGUUGAUAGGCACGGUGUGUAAGAGUGGUAACACUUUAAGCUAACGUGUACUAAUAGUCCGUGAGGCUUUAUCAUAUAU
This 2907-nucleotide ribosomal RNA is filed under the name Candidatus Portiera aleyrodidarum (primary endosymbiont of Bemisia tabaci). RNAcentral's name for it is "bacterial LSU rRNA". It matches the Rfam family "Bacterial large subunit ribosomal RNA". Lineage: Bacteria; Pseudomonadati; Pseudomonadota; Gammaproteobacteria; Johnevansiales (SeqCode); Johnevansiaceae (SeqCode). The record is from RNAcentral.